UACAGAGGGGGCAAGCGUUAUUCGGAAUUAUUGGGCGUAAAGGGCGCGUAGGCGGCCUGGCAAGUGGAUGGUGAAAUCCCUCGGCUUAACCGAGGAACUGCCAUCCAGACUGCUUGGCUUGAGACCGGGAGAGGUGAGUGGAAUUCCCAGUGUAGCGGUGAAAUGCGCAGAUAUCAGGAGGAACACCAAUUGCGAAGGCAGCUCGCUGGAACGUAACUGACGCUGAGACGCGAAAGCGUGGGGAGCAAACAGG
Molecule: ribosomal RNA, 253 nt
Filed under: uncultured bacterium
Lineage: Bacteria
Description: partial 16S ribosomal RNA
Rfam family: Bacterial small subunit ribosomal RNA
Source: RNAcentral